RNAcentral lists this ribosomal RNA (465 nucleotides) under uncultured bacterium. RNAcentral describes it as "partial 16S ribosomal RNA". It matches the Rfam family "Bacterial small subunit ribosomal RNA", at positions 28 to 508 of the family's 1533-position model. The record is from RNAcentral.
GACGAACGCUGGCGGCGUGCUUAACACAUGCAAGUCGAACGGAAAGGCCCUGCUUGCAGGGUACUCGAGUGGCGAACGGGUGAGUAACACGUGGGUGAUCUGCCCUGCACUUCGGGAUAAGCUUGGGAAACUGGGUCUAAUACCGGAUAGGAACCAUCUUUAGUGUGGUGGUUGGAAAGUUUUUUCGGUGUAGGAUGAGCUCGCGGCCUAUCAGCUUGUUGGUGGGGUAAUGGCCUACCAAGGCGGCGACGGGUAGCCGGCCUGAGAGGGUGUACGGCCACUUUGGGCCUGAGAGAGGCCCCGGCCUCACGGGGGGGGCGGCGGGGGGGAUAUUGACCAAAGGGGCCCAGGCCGGUACCACAGGCGCCGGGGGGGGGUUGAAGGCCUGGGGUUUUAAACCUCCUUCCCAUGGGAAGAAAGUUUUUUGUCAGGUAACCUAGAAGAGAAGCCCCGCCAACCUAGGGC